GACGAACGCUGGCGGCGUGCUUAACACAUGCAAGUCGAACGGUGAAAGCAGAGCUUGGUCUUCUGGUUCAGUGGCGAACGGGUGAGUAACACGUGAGUAACCUGCCCCAGACUCUGGGAUAAGCGCUGGAAACGGGGUCUAAUACCGGAUACGAGACACAGCUGCAUGGCUACUGUCUGGAAAGUUUUUCGGUCUGGGAUGGACUCGCGGCCUAUCAGCUUGUUGGUGGGGUAACGGCUCACCAAGGCAACGACGGGUAGCCGGCCUGAGAGGGCGACCGGCCACACUGGGACUGAGACACGGCCCAGACUCCUACGGGAGGCAGCAGUGGGGAAUAUUGCACAAUGGGCGAAAGCCUGAUGCAGCGACGCCGCGUGAGGGAUGACGGCCUUCGGGUUGUAAACCUCUUUCAGCAGGGAAGAAGCGAAAGUGACGGUACCUGCUGAAGAAGCACCGGCUAACUACGUG
This 468-nucleotide ribosomal RNA is filed under the name uncultured bacterium. Its description in RNAcentral is "partial 16S ribosomal RNA". It matches the Rfam family "Bacterial small subunit ribosomal RNA", at positions 28 to 507 of the family's 1533-position model. The record is from RNAcentral.